RNAcentral lists this ribosomal RNA (301 nucleotides) under uncultured bacterium. RNAcentral describes it as "partial 16S ribosomal RNA". It matches the Rfam family "Bacterial small subunit ribosomal RNA", at positions 509 to 808 of the family's 1533-position model. The record is from RNAcentral.
CAGUCGCCGCGGUAAUACGUAGGUCCCGAGCGUUGUCCGGAUUUAUUGGGCGUAAAGCGAGCGCAGGCGGUUAGAUAAGUCUGAAGUUAAAGGCUGUGGCUUAACCAUAGUACGCUUUGGAAACUGUUUAACUUGAGUGCAAGAGGGGAGAGUGGAAUUCCAUGUGUAGCGGUGAAAUGCGUAGAUAUAUGGAGGAACACCGGUGGCGAAAGCGGCUCUCUGGCUUGUAACUGACGCUGAGGCUCGAAAGCGUGGAGAGCAAACAGGAUUAGAUACCCCGGUAGUCCCUGUCUCUUAUACA